GAUGAACGCUGGCGGCGUGCCUAAUACAUGCAAGUCGAGCGAACGGACGAGAAGCUUGCUUCUCUGAUGUUAGCGGCGGACGGGUGAGUAACACGUGGAUAACCUACCUAUAAGACUGGGAUAACUUCGGGAAACCGGAGCUAAUACCGGAUAAUAUUUUGAACCGCAUGGUUCAAAAGUAAAAGACGGUCUUGCUGUCACUUAUAGAUGGAUCCGCGCUGCAUUAGCUAGUUGGUAAGGUAACGGCUUACCAAGGCAACGAUGCAUAGCCGACCUGAGAGGGCGGGAGGAAGCACAGGGUCUGAGUACGGGGCGGGACUCCUGCGGGAGGCAGCAGGAGGGAAGAGUACGCAAGUGGCUAAGAUGUUACGUAGUAACGCCGCGGGAGGAAUUAAGGUCUUGUGAUCUGAAAACUCUGUUAUGAUGGAAGAACAAAUGGGUAAGUAACUAUGCGCGCCUUCAGCGUGCCUAAUCAGAAGGACACGGCUCAGUAAGUG
Molecule: ribosomal RNA, 497 nt
Filed under: uncultured bacterium
Lineage: Bacteria
Description: partial 16S ribosomal RNA
Rfam family: Bacterial small subunit ribosomal RNA
Source: RNAcentral